This 78-nucleotide transfer RNA is filed under the name Rubrivirga sp. RNAcentral's name for it is "tRNA-Thr". The record is from RNAcentral. RNAcentral also lists the same sequence under 4 other names. Lineage: Bacteria; Pseudomonadati; Rhodothermota; Rhodothermia; Rhodothermales; Rubricoccaceae.
GUCUUCUUCUUCCUCAGGGGGUUGAGCAACGCACUCGUCAUGUGUAGGUCCGGGGUUCAAAUCCCCGAGGCGGCUUCA